CGCUGGCGGCAGGCCUAACACAUGCAAGUCGAGCGGUAGCACAGAGAGCUUGCUCUCGGGUGACGAGCGGCGGACGGGUGAGUAAUGUCUGGGAAACUGCCUGAUGGAGGGGGAUAACUACUGGAAACGGUAGCUAAUACCGCAUAACGUCGCAAGACCAAAGUGGGGGACCUUCGGGCCUCAUGCCAUCAGAUGUGCCCAGAUGGGAUUAGCUAGUAGGUGGGGUAACGGCUCACCUAGGCGACGAUCCCUAGCUGGUCUGAGAGGAUGACCAGCCACACUGGAACUGAGACACGGUCCAGACUCCUACGGGAGGCAGCAGUGGGGAAUAUUGCACAAUGGGCGCAAGCCUGAUGCAGCCAUGCCGCGUGUGUGAAGAAGGCCUUCGGGUUGUAAAGCACUUUCAGCGGGGAGGAAGGCGAUAAGGUUAAUAACCUUGUCGAUUGACGUUACCCGCAGAAGAAGCACCGGCUAACUCCGUGCCAGCAGCCGCGGUAAUACGGAGGGUGCAAGCGUUAAUCGGAAUUACUGGGCGUAAAGCGCACGCAGGCGGUCUGUCAAGUCGGAUGUGAAAUCCCCGGGCUCAACCUGGGAACUGCAUUCGAAACUGGCAGGCUAGAGUCUUGUAGAGGGGGGUAGAAUUCCAGGUGUAGCGGUGAAAUGCGUAGAGAUCUGGAGGAAUACCGGUGGCGAAGGCGGCCCCCUGGACAAAGACUGACGCUCAGGUGCGAAAGCGUGGGGAGCAAACAGGAUUAGAUACCCUGGUAGUCCACGCCGUAAACGAUGUCGAUUUGGAGGUUGUGCCCUUGAGGCGUGGCUUCCGGAGCUAACGCGUUAAAUCGACCGCCUGGGGAGUACGGCCGCAAGGUUAAAACUCAAAUGAAUUGACGGGGGCCCGCACAAGCGGUGGAGCAUGUGGUUUAAUUCGAUGCAACGCGAAGAACCUUACCUGGUCUUGACAUCCACAGAACUUAGCAGAGAUGCUUUGGUGCCUUCGGGAACUGUGAGACAGGUGCUGCAUGGCUGUCGUCAGCUCGUGUUGGGAAAUGUUGGGUUAAGUCCCGCAACGAGCGCAACCCUUAUCCUUUGUUGCCAGCGGUUAGGCCGGGAACUCAAAGGAGACUGCCAGUGAUAAACUGGAGGAAGGUGGGGAUGACGUCAAGUCAUCAUGGCCCUUACGACCAGGGCUACACACGUGCUACAAUGGCAUAUACAAAGAGAAGCGACCUCGCGAGAGCAAGCGGACCUCAUAAAGUAUGUCGUAGUCCGGAUUGGAGUCUGCAACUCGACUCCAUGAAGUCGGAAUCGCUAGUAAUCGUAGAUCAGAAUGCUACGGUGAAUACGUUCCCGGGCCUUGUACACACCGCCCGUCACACCAUGGGAGUGGGUUGCAAAAGAAGUAGGUA
RNAcentral lists this ribosomal RNA (1406 nucleotides) under human gut metagenome. RNAcentral describes it as "bacterial SSU rRNA". It matches the Rfam family "Bacterial small subunit ribosomal RNA". The record is from RNAcentral.